This 253-nucleotide ribosomal RNA is filed under the name uncultured bacterium. RNAcentral describes it as "partial 16S ribosomal RNA". It matches the Rfam family "Bacterial small subunit ribosomal RNA", at positions 524 to 776 of the family's 1533-position model. The record is from RNAcentral.
UACAGAGGGUGCGAGCGUUAAUCGGAAUUACUGGGCGUAAAGAGCUCGUAGGUGGUUUGUCGCGUUGUCCGUGAAAACUCACAACUCAAUUGUGGGCGUGCGGGCGAUACGGGCAGACUGGAGUACUGCAGGGGAGACUGGAAUUCCUGGUGUAGCGGUGGAAUGCGCAGAUAUCAGGAGGAACACCGGUGGCGAAGGCGGGUCUCUGGGCAGUAACUGACGCUGAGGAGCGAAAGCGUGGGGAGCGAACGGG